CCAGCAUGGAGGAAAAGAACUAACAAGGAUUCCCCUAGUAACGGCGAGUGAAGCGGGAUGAGCUCAAAUUUGUAAUCUGGCGGUCUCGCGGCCGUCCGAGUUGUAAUCUGGAGAAGCGUUUUCGGUGCCGGUCCGCGUACAAGUCCCCUGGAACGGGGCGUCGCAGAGGGUGAGAAUCCCGUCUUUGACGCGGUCCGCCGGUGCCGUGCGAUGCGCUCUCGAAGAGUCGAGUUGUUUGGGAAUGCAGCUCAAAACGGGUGGUAAAUUCCAUCUAAAGCUAAAUACUGGCGAAAGACCGAUAGCGAACAAGUACCGUGAGGGAAAGAUGAAAAGCACUUUGGAAAGAGAGUCAAACAGUACGUGAAAUUGUUGAAAGGGAAACGCUUGAAGUCAGUCGCGUCUCUCGGGACUCAGCCGGGUUGGUUCUCGGUGUAUUUCCCGAGUCUGGACGGGCCAGCAUCGGUUUCGACCGUCGUAAAAAGGCGUGAGGAACGUGGCACCCUUCUGGGUGUGUUAUAGCCUCUCGUCGUAUGUGACGGACGGGACCGAGGAACGCAGCGCGCCCCCCUUCGAGGGGGGCCGGGGUUCGCCCACGUAACGCGCUUAGGAUGCUGGCGUAAUGGCUUUAAGCGACCCGUCUUGAAACACGGACCAAGGAGUCUAACAUGCUCGCGAGUGUUCGGGUGGAAAACCCGUGCGCGUAAUGAAAGUGAAAGGUUGGGACCCCUCCCUUCGCGUUGGGGGCACCGACGCCCGGACUCGAGCUUCUGCGAAGGUUCCGAGGCAGAGCGCGUAUGUUGGGACCCGAAAGAUGGUGAACUAUGCCUGAGUAGGGCGAAGCCAGAGGAAACUCUGGUGGAGGCUCGUAGCGAUUCUGACGUGCAAAUCGAUCGUCGAACUUGGGUAUAGGGGCGAAAGACUAAUCGAACCAUCUAGUAGCUGGUUCCCGCCGAAGUUUCCCUCAGGAUAGCAGAGACUCGUAUCAGUUUUAUGUGGUAAAGCGAAUGAUUAGGGGCCUUGGGGUCGAAACGACCUUAACCCAUUCUCAAACUUUAAAUAUGUAAGAACGGGCGGUCGCUUGAC
Molecule: ribosomal RNA, 1083 nt
Filed under: Ileodictyon cibarium
Lineage: Eukaryota; Fungi; Basidiomycota; Agaricomycetes; Phallales; Phallaceae
Description: partial large subunit ribosomal RNA
Rfam family: Eukaryotic large subunit ribosomal RNA
Source: RNAcentral